RNAcentral lists this transfer RNA (75 nucleotides) under Microbacterium phage Zooman. Its description in RNAcentral is "tRNA-Gln". It matches the Rfam family "tRNA". From Rfam's summary of the family: Transfer RNA (tRNA) molecules are approximately 80 nucleotides in length. Their secondary structure includes four short double-helical elements and three loops (D, anti-codon, and T loops). The record is from RNAcentral. Lineage: Duplodnaviria; Heunggongvirae; Uroviricota; Caudoviricetes.
ACUCCACUAGCACAAUUGGCAGUUGCGUCGGGUUUUGGUUCCGAAUGUUUCAGGUUCGAAUCCUGAGUGGAGUGC